UUUUGUUCUGUUUCGGGAUAUGGAGUGAUUCCUACUCUUCACUGGGUUUGGCUCAAUGGAGGAAUUGAUGCUCCGAUUGUACAGGACUUUGCACCCCGUGUAAUUGUGAUGUAUAUGAUUGCUCUUCUGGCUUUCCUAUUCUACAUUUCCAAAGUCCCAGAGCGGUACUUUCCAGCUUUAAAAUCAUAUUUUAGAAUCAGGAACGAAGAUUCAGGGAAUGUCUGUCACAUCUUAUGGCAUCCCACCUGGACAGAAUAUCCGAUUUGAAGAUUGUGAUUGACUUCCAUAAAACUCUACAACUCUCCAUUUGGCAGUGCUUACGUGAAGUACCAA
This 333-nucleotide small RNA is filed under the name Pongo abelii (Sumatran orangutan). RNAcentral describes it as "processed transcript". Lineage: Eukaryota; Metazoa; Chordata; Mammalia; Primates; Hominidae. The record is from RNAcentral.